CUGUGUUACUCACAGCGCUGCAGGCGCCAAGAGAUUCGUGUUCCCUCCGCGCUGCCUCCAUCCCCGGAGGACACACUGUUUGUGUCUUUAAGAUUAUUUCCCACACGAGCAUAUAUGGAAAAAUAAUCUGCAUCAAGAACUGACACAUCACACGGAUUCGUGAAAUUGAUUGUUAAGUACUUGCCAGGCUACACAAAUUUAAAAAUUAUUGGAUUCCAUGAAAUAUGUUGGUAGAGAAAGUGUAUGUGAGGAUGGUGGUACCCUAUUGACAAGUCUGAGUUCUGCUCCCCGUCAGUUUUUACCAUCAGUUCUGCACUAAAUCAUCAUACCUUGUUACCAGAUUGCUGAUUGCACUUGGAAACUGGCUUUGGAGCAAAUCACGGAAAGAAAAAAGGGGAGGUAAGAGGCAGUUGGCAAAGAACAUCCUGAAAAAAAGGAAAUGCAAGCAAAAUGGAUCUUGGAGAGAAGACCAAAAUAUAUGUGCUAGAAGAACCAUUGUCAAAACAGUACCCAGUGAGCCUUCAUUUGCAGACCUAUUUUGUUCUUCAACUCUGAAAAUUUUCUGAGCUGCUUCUACACAAUUCAAGAGAGGUUCUGAUCCGGAGACAGAGGUCCUUUCCUGAUGUUGAUGUUCUGUGUGGUGUGCACGACCAGCAGGAAAACACGAUGGCCAAGCAGUUUCCCAUCCCAGCCAAAUUCUCAGCACAGUAACGCCUUGUUAUCAAACUCGGGACCUCAUGCUUUCAAGACAGGAGUGACACCUCUGAACUAAGUCCCCAGCCCC
Molecule: long non-coding RNA, 784 nt
Organism: Fukomys damarensis (Damara mole-rat)
Lineage: Eukaryota; Metazoa; Chordata; Mammalia; Rodentia; Bathyergidae
Exons: 8
Source: RefSeq, a predicted model, not a curated record